CCUCUUCAUAUAGAGAAUUAUUUUUCCUUCAUAGUUUUUGAAGCCAUGAAUCACAAAGCAUUAACUUUAUUUUUCAUAGCCUUUUUUGUCUUAAUUUUUUGUGCAUCCUCGGCAAACUCCAGGAGAUUGUCAGGAAAAUAUGGAAAAGUCCCUCAACAAACUAUACCCUCUUAUGGUCCAAUUCCCACGUACCCAACUACACCCUAUUAUCCACCAUCAAGUAAAGAAUCAAUAUGCAAGAAAAAUAUAAUUGGCAAAUGUAUAUCCACCAAAAAAAACACCACACCUUGAAAAACCAUGCAAGAGUUUUACCAAUUGUCAUAAAAUGAAACCAUAGAAGCAAAGGGAGGUGUAUUAAAAUGAAAUAAAAAUAAAUUAGUAGCUUUUUUUUAAAAAAAUAAAUGAAUUGCACUAUAUAUAUACUAUGUAUGUUUUAAGGGAAUAAAAUUAUUGUUGUGACCUAUAUGUUAUCGGUUUGAGGCGGUGGAAGUAGCAACUAAUGCAUGCAUUACAAUAUGAUGUCGCAUCAAACUCUUUAGGGUGCGGUUUGCCUUCGGAUCUACUAAUGCAGGAUGCUCUGUGCGCUGAUAUUGUAUCUUUUUUAUGUUUAAUUUAUAAUUAUACUAUUACUAUUGUGUUUUCUUUUGGUAUUCUGCAUGAUGUACUACUCUACUCGAUGCUUUGUAUCAAUGUGUAUGAAAUAUUAUUAAUACAUAUGGAUUAAGUAUAUAUGCUAUUUCGAAAA
Molecule: long non-coding RNA, 745 nt
Organism: Capsicum annuum
Lineage: Eukaryota; Viridiplantae; Streptophyta; Magnoliopsida; Solanales; Solanaceae
Exons: 2
Source: RefSeq, a predicted model, not a curated record